AAGGCAUGGUGUGGGUAUUUCCUAAGCUGUUUUUUAAAUCUCUCCCAAGCUUCAUAUAUUGAUUCUACAUCUAAUUGAAUGAAUGAAGUAAUAUUAUUUCUAAGUUU
Dendrobium catenatum is the source of this 107-nucleotide small nucleolar RNA. The record is from RefSeq and is a predicted model, not a curated record. NCBI's taxonomy places the organism in Eukaryota, Viridiplantae, Streptophyta, Magnoliopsida, Asparagales, Orchidaceae.